GCAUAUCAAUAAGCGGAGGAAAAGAAACCAACAGGGAUUGCCCUAGUAACGGCGAGUGAAGCGGCAACAGCUCAAAUUUGAAAUCUGGCUCUUUCAGAGUCCGAGUUGUAAUUUGCAGAGGGCGCUUUGGCGUUGGGAGCGGUCCAAGUUCUUUGGAACAGGACGUCACAGAGGGUGAGAAUCCCGUACGUGGUCGCUGGCUAUUGCCGUGUAAAGCCCCUUCGACGAGUCGAGUUGUUUGGGAAUGCAGCUCUAAAUGGGAGGUACAUUUCUUCUAAAGCUAAAUAUUGGCCAGAGACCGAUAGCGCACAAGUAGAGUGAUCGAAAGAUGAAAAGCACUUUGGAGAGAGAGUCAAACAGCACGUAAAAUUGUUGAAAGGGAAGCGCUUGCAGCCAGACUUGCUUACAGUUGCUCAUCCGGGUUUCUACCCGGUGCACUCUUCUGUAGGCAGGCCAGCAUCAGUUUGGGCGGUAGGAUAAAGGUCUCUGUCACGUACCUCCUUUCGGGGAGGCCUUAUAGGGGAGACGACAUACUACCAGCCUGGACUGAGGUCCGCGCAUCUGCUAGGAUGCUGGCGUAAUGGCUGUAAGCGGUCCGUCUUGAAACACGGACC
This 614-nucleotide ribosomal RNA is filed under the name uncultured fungus. Its description in RNAcentral is "LSU rRNA". It matches the Rfam family "Eukaryotic large subunit ribosomal RNA", at positions 38 to 667 of the family's 3401-position model. Lineage: Eukaryota; Fungi. The record is from RNAcentral.